UCCCUGGUGGCUCAGAUGGUAAAGCGUCUGCCUGCAAUGCAGGAGACUCAGGUUUGAUCCCUGGGUCGGGAA
This 72-nucleotide transfer RNA is filed under the name Bos taurus (domestic cattle). It matches the Rfam family "tRNA". Rfam says of the family: Transfer RNA (tRNA) molecules are approximately 80 nucleotides in length. Their secondary structure includes four short double-helical elements and three loops (D, anti-codon, and T loops). The record is from Rfam by way of RNAcentral. RNAcentral also lists the same sequence under 2 other names. Lineage: Eukaryota; Metazoa; Chordata; Mammalia; Artiodactyla; Bovidae.